CUAUGGAGCUUUGAUACAUCAAGGUCGCUGUUACAGCCUCUCCCCACGUCUGUCCUGGGGUCUCAGCUGAAGCUGAACACUUACCAUGACCACAGGAACCUCUGCACUUAGACUCCCACCUCCCCUGGGCCCCCCUUGCACCUGGCUCCUGUCCGUCUUCUCCCGGGAAACCCUGACACUGGCAUUUUGACACAGCUAUUUCCCAAAUGUGGUGAUCCUCGUUAUCAGACUGCACAGCCUGACUAUUUUGGGAACAGGAUGGGUUCCCCUCCCUCAUGACUCAGUUUACCCAUCACCGUCUCUCUGAGGCCCCCUGAAGGCUGUGUAUACAGUACACAGGCUGUUGCAGGGGUGGACAUUUGGCCUGGUGGUUAAGAGGCUGCUUCUAAUCCUGUUCCCCCUCUCAGAGUGCCCACGUUCGAUCCCCGGAUCUGGCCCUUGGUUCCAGCUUCCUACCAGUAAAGACCCUGGGAAGCAACAGGUGAUGGCUCAAGUAAUCAGCUCUCAACCACCCCCAACUGAGACCUGGGUGGAGUUCUCAGCUCCUGGCUUUGGUUGUGGGCCUCAGGGGGCAGUAAAUCAACGCAUGGGAGCAGUCUCUUUCUCAAAUCCCAAAAACGUAUGAAAUCAAAGAAAUGAAACGCACCUCUGUUGAGCCACAGUCUCCGUCAGGAGACCAGUGUUAUGUUCUCAGCAUUCCCUCCCUGGUGAUGAAGCCAAGGGGAGGGACCAGGCUUUGUGCAUCUCAGCUCCCCUGGCACCAACAGGAACCUGGUCAUCGAAACAGACUCGCAUGGACAGGCCAUUGCUUGCCUUGUGCAAGUAAUCCGGGGCACUCUUCUGGCUGUUCUGCUGAUCCUGGGAGCUGGAUUAUUCCUUUGGAGGACCCGUGGGAGGAAGAAGAAGGAGACUGGAAGAGGUGCCUCCCCAUAGGGUGCCUGCCUGACUGUACACGAGGCCAGUCCCCCAUUGCCUCUGCUGUGUCACCGGUGUGUGUCUUUUUGAGAGCACGAGACCCAGUGUGGGGAUACUGUGGAGGCAUUGACCGCGCUGGAGGAGCUGAGUUCUGGAUCCUGAGUUGGAAGAUGAUGGAAGCAAUGUGGGUGGUUGGGAACUGGCAAAGGAGUGGCCUGAAACUUCCUUUGCAGACCUUGCAUAGGGCUCCCUUGGGGGUGUUGGGCAGUGUGUGUGUGUGUGUGUGCGUGUGUGUGUGCGAUUGUGGUAGUGUCUACUGCACAUUGUGUACCUGGGCUGGAGCUCUUUUCCUUUGGCAUGUGUGCUAAUGUCACGCUGCCUCCGCCUCAGCUCGUGGCUUCCUGGGCAGUGGGAAGAGAAGUCUGUGCUGUCUCUGGCCCUUUCCAGAUGCGUGUCUCCCAGAGAACAACCCUGGGAAGCAGUCAGGAGUUUUCUUAGGAAAACAGCCUCAGCUCACCCUGAUCUCCAAUUCUGGCAGCUGGUGGUGAGAACAGGUGUGCAGUGUCACCGCACACCCUCUGGUGGGUGCUGCUGUGUCCUCUGGCGGGUAAUGCUAGGGGAAGGUGUGACCUGAUCAUCUUGGCCUCUCCACUUAGCUGCAGUGCCUGAGCCUGCUGGCCCCAAGCCCUAAUGCAGCCUUUUUGUUGCUCACUCUAACACUGCCCGGUUUGGCUCUGCGACUUCCAGUGACUUUGCUUGACCCAGAGGUCUGAACUGAGGAUUCUCCCCCUCGUGAUAUCCCUCCCCUCAGUGCCUGAGGACCUGAUGUAGCCCGUUUGCAUCCUGCUGUAUGGAUGCUCCUUUUCUGCAUGGGGGUCCUCACUUGCUUGGAUCCUCUUCCUCCUGCCUUUGGCCCUGGGGUUCGCAUCACAGUUAAGCUGACUGAUGAGCUAGGCUCCUGAGUCUUGAUUCUUCCAGUUCGGCUGAGCUUCCUCAGAUCUGACUCCAGAAAUCAAAUGUCUGAACAGGGUCCCUGCUAAGGGCUAUGAUCCAAUGCUUGUGACCUGCUGAUGGUGGAUGAGUGAGUGAGGGCAGAAUAGGGCUCUGUCUCCGACUUCUUGUUCUCAGACUAAGCAUAAAUCUGAUGAUGUGAAAGAUACCAUAUCCUCACUGACAGGUGACCAGUCAUAGCUGGGCAUCAACACCUAUCAGCCCAAUGUAAGCUGUGACCACCCAUUGACAGUUCCCACUACACCUAAAGCAGAAAAAAAUAAGGAAAAUAAAAAAUAAGGAAAAAAUUUUUAAAAAAGAGAA
Molecule: long non-coding RNA, 2229 nt
Filed under: Oryctolagus cuniculus (rabbit)
Lineage: Eukaryota; Metazoa; Chordata; Mammalia; Lagomorpha; Leporidae
Description: lncRNA (ENSOCUG00000031568.1)
Source: RNAcentral